AUCCAGCUGACGAGUCCCAAAUAGAACGAAACGCGCAUCCUGGAU
Molecule: non-coding RNA, 45 nt
Organism: Schistosoma rodhaini
Lineage: Eukaryota; Metazoa; Platyhelminthes; Trematoda; Strigeidida; Schistosomatidae
Source: Rfam